Molecule: non-coding RNA, 82 nt
Organism: Parathielavia appendiculata
Lineage: Eukaryota; Fungi; Ascomycota; Sordariomycetes; Sordariales; Chaetomiaceae
Source: the annotation of a RefSeq genome assembly
GGGGGGCUGGCGCAACGGUAGCGCGUUCGACUCCAGUUACUGAGUAAUCGAAAGGUUAUCCGUUCAAAUCGGGUGCUCCUCA